GCUUAACGCGAAGAACCUUACCUAGGCUUGACAUGCUAGAGAAAGUCCUGUGAAAGCAGGGCCCUCCUUCGGGACUCUAGCACAGGUGCUGCAUGGCUGUCGUCAGCUCGUGUCGUGAAAUGUUGGGUUAAGUCCCGCAACGAGCGCAACCCCCUGCCUGCUGUUGCUAACAGGUUAUGCUGAGGACUCUGCAGGGACUGCCGGUGAUAAACCGGAGGAAGGUGGGGACGACGUCAAGUCAUCAUGGUCCUUACGUCUAGGGCUACACACGUGCUACAAUGGCCGGGACAAACCGUUGCGAUACCGCGAGGUGGAGCGAAUCGGAAAAACCCGGUCUAAGUUCGGAUUGCAGUCUGUAACUCGACUGCAUGAAGUUGGAAUCGCUAGUAAUCGUGGAUCAGCUACGCCACGGUGAAUCCGUUCCCGGGUCUUGUACACACCG
This 442-nucleotide ribosomal RNA is filed under the name uncultured bacterium. Its description in RNAcentral is "bacterial SSU rRNA". It matches the Rfam family "Bacterial small subunit ribosomal RNA", at positions 954 to 1392 of the family's 1533-position model. The record is from RNAcentral.